AUAAAGAGGACAACUACUCUAGAUCUUUUCACUUCAGACUUUCGUUUAUAUGCAAGAUAUGUUGGUGACAUAUGCAUGGUAUGGGGCUCGGAGGGCCGUACUGAUGAUGUUGGCCGCAGGCUGGGUGAUGAAUCUCUGGGCCUGUCUACUAGAGUGGAGCGGGGUUCUUCUGAAGGGUUCCAUUUUCUGGAUGUGAAUGUGGAUGUGCGGAUGGGCGAGUGUAUCACAACCGUCUAUAGGGGACCCACCUAUAUGCCUGUGCUUGUUCCGGCAUGGUCUGGGGAUCCUGUGCCGUGUGGGCUGGCUGCCUUUACGAGUUUGGUCUCUGGAGUCUUCACCCGUGCCGCCGGGUGGACGGAUAGAGA
Molecule: long non-coding RNA, 365 nt
Filed under: Androctonus crassicauda
Lineage: Eukaryota; Metazoa; Arthropoda; Arachnida; Scorpiones; Buthidae
Source: RNAcentral